UGACUGUUGGAAAGGUAGUUCAGUAGUUAAAAUGGAUGAAUAGUUAGGAAAAGUAGUUUUCAUUAGAGAUGUAGCAGUUGGUAUCUCGUGGUAGGAUAAGGAGGAUGAGAGAGACGAAGAAACGGCCAUUACUAUGAUAGUGUGAGCCGGAGUAAGCUUGGUGCUACCUCUUUUCUUUUGUUGUUAUGUUCUUUGAAAUAAGAGUAUUGAGAGUUUCUGAAUAUUGUGAAGUGAAUCAUAGAAUGAAAGUGUGAUUGGAAUUAUAUGUUAUUGAAUGAGAAGAAGAGAGAUUGAAUGCUGAAAUCUGAAUGUAGUUUAGCAGAAAGAGUGAAUCUGUGGUUGUGUGAAACACUGUAAUGUGAGUGGUAGUUCUGUGUGAAGAAUUCCAGUAAUUGGAAUGA
RNAcentral lists this long non-coding RNA (401 nucleotides) under Physcomitrium patens. Its description in RNAcentral is "long non-coding RNA (PPAT_LNC006583)". The record is from RNAcentral. Lineage: Eukaryota; Viridiplantae; Streptophyta; Bryopsida; Funariales; Funariaceae.